AUGUCUUAUAACUUGGUUGCAACUCGACUUCCAUUUUUGUUGUACGGGGAGAGGCACCAAUUGCUUGUCCGACAACAGGCACACAACUACAUGUCUGCUAACUUGGUCGCAACUGGGGAAAUUUGUUUUGUCGGAGGGGGUGACAUCGAUAGAGAGGGGGCUAGUUGCAUGUCUUAUAACUUGGUCACAAUUCAGCUUUCAUUUUUUUGUACGGGGAAAGGGGGCAGUUGCAUGUCCCACAGUAGGACACGCAACCGCAUGUCUUCUAACUUGGUCGCAACUGGGGACCUUUGUUUUGUCGGAGGAGGCGGCGUUGAGAGAGAGGGGGCCAGUUGCAUGUCCCAUACUAGGAACGCAACUGCAUGUCUUCUAACUUGGUCGCAACCGGGGGGCUUAUUUUGUCGGAGGGAGCGGCGUCGAGAGAGAGGGGGCCAGUUGCAUGUCCCACACUAG
This 453-nucleotide ribosomal RNA is filed under the name Triticum aestivum (bread wheat). RNAcentral's name for it is "partial small subunit ribosomal RNA". The record is from RNAcentral. Lineage: Eukaryota; Viridiplantae; Streptophyta; Magnoliopsida; Poales; Poaceae.